RNAcentral lists this ribosomal RNA (301 nucleotides) under uncultured bacterium. RNAcentral's name for it is "partial 16S ribosomal RNA". It matches the Rfam family "Bacterial small subunit ribosomal RNA", at positions 509 to 807 of the family's 1533-position model. The record is from RNAcentral.
CAGCAGCCACGGUAAUACGAACCGUGCGAACGUUAUUCGGAAUUACUGGGCUUAAAGCGCGUGUAGGCGGGCCGCCACGUCGGUUGCUGAAAUCCCCCGGCUCAACCGGGGAAGUGGCAUCGAUACGAGCGGCCUUGAGGGGGGUAGGGGGAUCUGGAACUUCCGGUGGAGCGGUGAAAUGCGUUGAGAUCGGAAGGAGCGCCCGUGGCGAAAGCGAGGUCCUGGACCCUUUCUGACGCUGAGACGCGAAAGCCAGGGGAGCGAACGGGAUUAGAUACCCCUGUAGUCCCUGUCUCUUAUU